AUGUCGCUGCUAACAUCUAGACAUCUAUCGCUGCAAUUUUGGGUGGAUGUUUACACAUGCAUUGAGCAAAACAGACUAAGCUGGAUCAGGAAUAAUCAAGGGAAGCUACGAACUGAACUUUACAGUGGACUGCAGGACGCGAUUGAGAGAGGGGACACCAGAACAGAGCAGGUCAGAAAGAGGAUAAUUGUACCUUCAUCUUAUACAUGA
Molecule: ribosomal RNA, 210 nt
Filed under: Triticum aestivum (bread wheat)
Lineage: Eukaryota; Viridiplantae; Streptophyta; Magnoliopsida; Poales; Poaceae
Description: partial small subunit ribosomal RNA
Source: RNAcentral